UACAGAGGGUGCGAGCGUUUAUCGGCAUUACUGGGCGUAAAGCGCACGCAGGUGGCGACGUAAGUCGGGUGUGAAAGCCCCGGGCUCAACCUGGGAAUUGCAUUCGAGACUGCAUUGCUGGAGUACGGAAGAGGAGGGCGGAAUUCCCGGUGUAGCGGUGAAAUGCGUAGAUAUCGGGAGGAACAUCAGUGGCGAAGGCGGCCCUCUGGUCCAGUACUGACACUCAAGUGCGAAAGCGUGGGGAGCAAACAGG
RNAcentral lists this ribosomal RNA (253 nucleotides) under uncultured bacterium. RNAcentral's name for it is "partial 16S ribosomal RNA". It matches the Rfam family "Bacterial small subunit ribosomal RNA", at positions 524 to 776 of the family's 1533-position model. The record is from RNAcentral.